GGCGGUUCUCGGGUGACUACCCUGGAAUCGGGCUCCCUCCUCUCUUGGUUCCAGGGUGUGUCACCAGAAAACCGCC
Molecule: non-coding RNA, 76 nt
Organism: Myotis brandtii (Brandt's bat)
Lineage: Eukaryota; Metazoa; Chordata; Mammalia; Chiroptera; Vespertilionidae
Source: Rfam